AGGACGAACGCUGGCGGCGCGCUUAAUACAUGCAAGUCGAGCGAGAACCAGGGCUUCGGCCCUGGGGACAGCGGCGAACGGGUGAGUAACACGUGGGUAAUCAACCCCCGACACCGGGAUAGCCCAGGGAAACUUGGAUUAAUACCGGAUGCUCCAUCUGGCUUUCGAGCCGGCUGGAAAAGGGUAGCUUCGGCCUCCGGUCGGGGACGAGCCCGCGGCGGAUUAGCUUGUUGGUGAGGUAAAGGCUCACCAAGGCGACGAUCCGUAGCUGGUCUGAGAGGACGAUCAGCCACACUGGGACUGAGACACGGCCCAGACUCCUACGGGAGGCAGCAGUAGGGAAUCUUGCGCAAUGGGCGAAAGCCUGACGCAGCGACGCCGCGUGAGGGAAGAAGGCCUUCGGGUUGUAAACCUCUUUCAGCAGGGACGAAGCGAAAGUGACGGUACCUGCAGAAGAAGCGCCGCUAACUACGUGCCAGCAGCCGCGGUAA
Molecule: ribosomal RNA, 491 nt
Filed under: uncultured bacterium
Lineage: Bacteria
Description: SSU rRNA
Rfam family: Bacterial small subunit ribosomal RNA
Source: RNAcentral